Molecule: long non-coding RNA, 96 nt
Organism: Oenanthe melanoleuca
Lineage: Eukaryota; Metazoa; Chordata; Aves; Passeriformes; Muscicapidae
Exons: 4
Source: RefSeq, a predicted model, not a curated record
GGUCACUCAGAGGUCACUCAGAGGUCACUCAGAGGUCACUCAGAGGUCACUCAGAGGUCACUCAGUGGUCACUCGGAGGUCACUUAGAGGUCACUC